CGAAUGGGGGAACCCGGCUAGUUGAAGACUAGUCAUCAUUUGAAGCUAACCUGGUGAACUGAAACAUCUAAGUAACCAGAGGAAAAUAAAACAAAAGUGAUUCCCCUAGUAGCGGCGAGCGAAAAGGGAAUAGCCCAAACCAUAAAUGUUUCGGCAUAUGUGGGGUUGUAGGACUGCAAUGUGGACUGUUAAUUUAUAGUGGAAUAUUCUGGAAAGUUUAAUCAUAGAAGGUGAAAGUCCUGUACACGAAAUAGUUUAACUACCUAGCAGUAUCCUGAGUAGGGCGGGACAGCGAAGAAAUCCUGUCUGAAUCUCCC
Molecule: ribosomal RNA, 317 nt
Filed under: uncultured bacterium
Lineage: Bacteria
Description: bacterial LSU rRNA
Rfam family: Bacterial large subunit ribosomal RNA
Source: RNAcentral